UACGAAGGGGACUAGCGUUGUUCGGAAUUACUGGGCGUAAAGCGCGCGUAGGCGGAUCGCUAAGUCAGGGGUGAAAUCCCAGGGCUCAACCCUGGAACUGCCUUUGAAACUAGAGAACUUGGGUACGGGAGAGGGUGAGUGGAAUUCCGAGUGUAGAGGUGAAAUUCGUAGAUAUUCGGUAAGGAAACACCACGUGGGUCGGCAAG
RNAcentral lists this ribosomal RNA (206 nucleotides) under uncultured bacterium. Its description in RNAcentral is "partial 16S ribosomal RNA". It matches the Rfam family "Bacterial small subunit ribosomal RNA", at positions 524 to 725 of the family's 1533-position model. The record is from RNAcentral.